Molecule: long non-coding RNA, 243 nt
Filed under: Elaeis guineensis (African oil palm)
Lineage: Eukaryota; Viridiplantae; Streptophyta; Magnoliopsida; Arecales; Arecaceae
Description: long non-coding RNA (EGUI_LNC052435)
Source: RNAcentral
GAGAUGUUUUUUCCAAGUCCUUUAUGGAGAACUAUGAUAAUAGCGAAACCUUUAUUUCUUAUAAUGUAAGGAAUGUCAUUCCUGAUUAAGAGAAUUUCAUUCAUAUACAAAAUAAGAAAUACACUCAUAGAACUACUAAUCCAUUUGUAUUUGCAGGAUUCUUCUUCAUUCUCAACGAAACCAUGCAUUUUGAUCACUUAUCAAAAUGCAUGUUCCAACUCCGAAAUAUUUAGCAUUACCACA